GAUGAACGCUGGCGGCGUGCCUAAUACAUGCAAGUCGAGCGAACAGACGAGGAGCUUGCUCCUCUGACGUUAGCGGCGGACGGGUGAUUAACACGUGGAUAACCUACCUAUAAAACUGGGAUAACUUCGGGAAACCGGAGCUAUAACCGGAUAAUAUAUUGAACCGCAUGGUUCAAUAGUGAAAGACGGUUUUGCUGUCACUUAUAGAUGGAUCCGCGCCGCAUUAGCUAGUUGGUAAGGUAACGGCUUACCAAGGCAACGAUGCGUAGCCGCCCUGACAGGGUGCCCGGCCCCACUGGAACUGAGACACGGUCCAGACUCCUACGGGAGGCAGCAGUAGGGAAUCUUCAGUAAUGGGCUAAAGCCUGACGGAGCAACGCCGCGUGAGUGAUGAAGGUCUUCGGAUCGUAAAACUCUGUUAUUAGGGAAGAACAAAUGUGUAAGUACCUAUGCACGUCUUGACGGUACCUAAUCAGAAAGCCACGGCUAACUACGUG
This 497-nucleotide ribosomal RNA is filed under the name uncultured bacterium. RNAcentral's name for it is "partial 16S ribosomal RNA". It matches the Rfam family "Bacterial small subunit ribosomal RNA", at positions 28 to 507 of the family's 1533-position model. The record is from RNAcentral.